GAUGAACGCUGGCGGCGUGCCUAAUACAUGCCAGUCGAGCGAACGGACGAGAAGCUUGCUCCUCUGAUGUUAGCGGCGGACGGGUGAGUAACACGUGGAUAACCUACCUAUAAGACUGGGAUAACUUCGGGAAACCGGAGCUAAUACCGGAUAAUAUAUUGAACCGCAUGGUUCAAUAGUGAAAGACGGUUUUGCUGUCACUUAUAGAUGGAUCCGCGCUGCAUUAGCUAGUUGGUAAGGUAACGGCUUACCAAGGCAACGAUGCGUAGCCGACCUGAGAGGGUGAUCGGCCACACUGGAACUGAGACACGGUCCAGACUCCUACGGGAGGCAGCAGUAGGGAAUCUUCCGCAAUGGGCGAAAGCCUGACGGAGCAACGCCGCGUGAGUGAUGAAGGUCUUCGGAUCGUAAAACUCUGUUAUUAGGGAAGAACAUAUGUGUAAGUAACUGUGCACGUCUUGACGGUACCUAAUCAGAAAGCCACGGCUAACUACGUG
This 497-nucleotide ribosomal RNA is filed under the name uncultured bacterium. Its description in RNAcentral is "partial 16S ribosomal RNA". It matches the Rfam family "Bacterial small subunit ribosomal RNA", at positions 28 to 507 of the family's 1533-position model. The record is from RNAcentral.